UACGUAGGGUGCGAGCGUUGUCCGGAAUUAUUGGGCGUAAAGAGCUCGUAGGCGGUUUGUCGCGUCUGCCGUGAAAGUCCGGGGCUCAACUCCGGAUCUGCGGUGGGUACGGGCAGACUAGAGUGAUGUAGGGGAGACUGGAAUUCCUGGUGUAGCGGUGAAAUGCGCAGAUAUCAGGAGGAACACCGGUGGCGAAGGCAGGUCUCUGGGCUGUAACUGACGCUGAGGAGCGAAAGCCAGGGGAGCAAACGGG
Molecule: ribosomal RNA, 253 nt
Filed under: uncultured bacterium
Lineage: Bacteria
Description: partial 16S ribosomal RNA
Rfam family: Bacterial small subunit ribosomal RNA
Source: RNAcentral